AACGAACGCUGGCGGCAUGCCUAACACAUGCAAGUCGAACGAGACCUUCGGGUCUAGUGGCGCACGUGUGCGUAACACGUGGGAACCUGCCCUUAGGUUCGGAAUAACUCCCCGAAAGGGGUGCUAAUACCGGAUAAUGUCUUCGGACCAAAGAUUUAUCGCCUUUGGAUGGGCCCGCGUUGGAUUAGCUAGUUGGUAGGGUAAAAGCCUACCAAGGCGACGAUCCAUAGCUGGUCUGAGAGGAUGACCAGCCCCACUGGGACUGAGACACGGCCCAGACUCCGACGGGAGGCAGCAGUGGGGAAUAUUGGACGAGGGGCGAAAGCCUGAUCCAGCAGUGCCGGGUGAGUGAUGAAGGCCGUAGGGUUGUAAAGCUCUUUUACCCGGGAUGAUAAUGACAGUACCGGGAGAAGAAGCUCCGGCUAACUCCGUG
This 433-nucleotide ribosomal RNA is filed under the name uncultured bacterium. RNAcentral describes it as "partial 16S ribosomal RNA". It matches the Rfam family "Bacterial small subunit ribosomal RNA", at positions 29 to 507 of the family's 1533-position model. The record is from RNAcentral.